Molecule: RNA transcript, 1955 nt
Organism: Hevea brasiliensis (rubber tree)
Lineage: Eukaryota; Viridiplantae; Streptophyta; Magnoliopsida; Malpighiales; Euphorbiaceae
Exons: 4
Source: RefSeq, a predicted model, not a curated record
UAUAAAAGAGCUAUCCUUGUUAGCUAACUUCAUCGUUGAGGAGACAACCAUUUCAUACAACAGAUGGUAUACUCCAGAGGGAUGGCACUGAGAACACAGGUGUUUUGGCUACCUAAUUAGCAAUGCACUUGUGUUCUCAGGUCACCCCUUUGGAGCACCCGUUGCGUGACAUCACGUCAAAUAUCAGAAAUUCACCUAUGAUCCUCAUCAGAGUCCGAUUUGCAUAGUCAACAUUUCUUUUUAUAUAUAUAUAUAUAUAUUCCUCGCUAGGAAAAUGGAGUAUGAUGUAAUAUUAAACUAGUUUAAAAUUAAAAUAUAUUAAAUGUUAUUUUAAAUUAAAUUUAAUAUAUUUAAAUUAUUAUUUUUAUGUGAUUUUGAAAUUUUCAAAUAUUAUUACAGUGAGAAUUAAUUGUGUUGGAGAUUUUUUUUUUUAGCAGAAGAUUAUAGAAUGGGAAUCAAAUCUGAAUCUGUAUGAAUAAUAUGCAUUCAGCCGGCAAAGCCCUUUCAUCGGAACACCUCUCAAAAGCUCUCUCUCUCCAAAACGACGAUGGCCGCUCCCUCCUUCGCGUCGCUGCCUCUUUGGAAUACUAUCAGAUGUGGAUGAAUUGAAAAGUUCAAUAAACAACAAGGAUGAGGCAGGUUGGGCACCACUUCAUUCUGCAGCCAGUUUUGGGAAUCUAAAAAUUGUAGAGAUUCUGUUAAGUGGAGGUAAAGAAUUUAUUGCUGGAGCUGAUUUUAAUUCAAGAAAAUGAUGGUGGUCGCACUACCCUUCACUAUGCUUCCAGCGAGGGAUGGUUCAAGAAGAUUAAUCUGAAGGACAAAGCUUGUUGGUUAUACCCCAUUGCAUCCUGCAGUUAGUACAGGGAAGUCAGAGUUGUGUGAAUUUUUAAUUGAGAAAGGAGCUGAGAUUGAUGCUAUUGAUAGAACUUGUCAGACUUCUCUAAUGAUUGCUGUCAUUUGCUGAAAACAAAGAGUUAAAUUUGCUAAAAAUUACUUGGGAUUCAUUUUUUGGUUGGGCAACCACCCAUGGCCCUUGAGUGAAUUUUACCUCUCACCAUUAUGUGAUUUGUGUAUAUCCUUUUGGCUUCCAUAAUUUAGAUUAGGCUUUGUUGGGUAUAUUUUGUGUCUGCUGUGUCUUCAUUGUAUUACUGAUUUGUUUCUCAUUAGAUUGUAGUAAAUUGUAAACUUUGUAAUUAAGAAGUGAUGGUGAAGGAAAUUAACUUAGGUAGAAUAAACUUCAGUUAAUCCAUAUUUGAUAUUAGUUUUAGCCUUUCUGAGCCUCCACUUAACAUUAUCCUUCCUAGAGAUAAGAAUGGUUCUGCCUCCAUUUUAAAUUACUAGUCAUUUGUCAUGUGUUUUGAGCGUGAUUGUGUAACUGGCUAUGUCAGGAGAUUAGAUUGAAUGUAUCAAUAAAAAAUGCAUUAAAUAAGAAUCUAUACAAAAAGGAAAAUGUUAACGCCUAGUGAAAAAUAAAUUCAAUUUCAUCCAAAACCCUUCCCUAUCCAAUUAUUGGUGAUAUCAUUUUGAAUUCCAUUUUUUUAAAGAAGUAACCACUGCAAAUCAUGCCAAAUCCAGGUGCACUUAGGUCAUUCAAGUAUUUUUUUUUUUUUUAAAUAAAGAGAUAGGUAGCAAAAUCUUCAUCUAUAAGAAUAUGAUUAAUAUGAUUGAAAAUGGGAAACUGAGGUUGGGAGCAACAUUAGGCACACUUGUCCCAACAAUGCUGUGAAUCAGUGUUGUUAAAAGUGAGAAAAGGGGCAAAGCAAGGCGAAGCGAGGCGAGGCGAGGCAAGGCAAGGCAAGGCGACCCUCUAGCGCCUCACUUCGCACUGCCUUGCCUUGCUUUCAAGAGGCGAGUGCCUAGGAGGAAGAGGUGAUGUGCGUGAGGCGAGGGAGGCGACGCCUCUUGCAAUUAACGUCUACUUUUUUAUUUUAAUUGUUUUUUAUGGAAUAAAAAUU